This 357-nucleotide unclassified non-coding RNA is filed under the name Pichia fermentans. RNAcentral's name for it is "sequence contains 18S rRNA gene, ITS1, 5.8S rRNA gene, ITS2, 28S rRNA gene". The stretch from base 88 to 240 matches the Rfam family "5.8S ribosomal RNA". The record is from RNAcentral. Lineage: Eukaryota; Fungi; Ascomycota; Pichiomycetes; Pichiales; Pichiaceae.
GAUCAUUACUGUGAUUUAUCCACCACACUGCGUGGGCGACACGAAACACCGAAACCGAACGCACGCCGUCAAGCAAGAAAUCCACAAAACUUUCAACAACGGAUCUCUUGGUUCUCGCAUCGAUGAAGAGCGCAGCGAAAUGCGAUACCUAGUGUGAAUUGCAGCCAUCGUGAAUCAUCGAGUUCUUGAACGCACAUUGCGCCCGCUGGUAUUCCGGCGGGCAUGCCUGUCUGAGCGUCGUUUCCUUCUUGGAGCGGAGCUUCAGACCUGGCGGGCUGUCCCUGUGGACGGCGCGCCCAAAGCGAGGGGCCUUCUGCGCGAACUAGACUGUGCGCGCGGGGCGGCCGGCGAACUUAU